This 501-nucleotide long non-coding RNA is filed under the name Lepisosteus oculatus (spotted gar). RNAcentral describes it as "lncRNA (ENSLOCG00000022316.1)". The record is from RNAcentral. Lineage: Eukaryota; Metazoa; Chordata; Actinopteri; Semionotiformes; Lepisosteidae.
CUCCCAUUUACUCGGUUUUCUCAGGGGCACGAAACCACGCCUAUGCAUAUGCGCGAGGAAGCGUCCUUUAGUUGCCACGGAGACAGGGCAACCCGGAAAACGUGUUCCCGAAAGUUUUAAAGGGACAGUAACUAGGAGUUUCAGUUAAACCGUCCGCUCCUGGCAUCAUCAUCAUCAUCAUCAUCAUCAUCACCACCACCACCACCACCACCACCACCACCGCUGUUGUUUAUUCUAACUUUUAACUUUACUCCGUAACGUUUUAUCUGCUAGAUACAAUAGUUUUCUCACAUUUUGGCAGUCUUCGUCCAGUUGUUGGAAGUUGGGGCUCUGGGAACUGUCAGUUAAGGUUCCUGGUGGAAAGCGUCGCAUCUGCCACAAUGUAAACAAUACAAGAGUCCAAGAAUCUUGAGGUAAGGACAUCUGAAGAAAAAUAUAAACCCAACAAGGAGAAAACUCAGCCACAAGGUAAUAAAUUCUACUCCUAAAAUAUUUGGCUAA